CAUAGAAUAAAGAUCCAUAUAGAAGGGCCACUUACGUCGGAAGCUUUGAAGUUUCUGUCCUCGCGCAUGUCGCAUUACGCAUGUUGGCCGCCAUUUUCCUAGCCAGUCAAUGACAUUUUCUGGCCAAUAAACGCGCUGUAUUGGCUGGCUGCUCCGCCUUCUGGCCAGUAAACUGCAUAUUUUUGCAUAAAAAAAUGAGGACAUGUUGCACCGCUGAGUGGCCCUUCUAUAUGGAUCUUUAUUCUAUGGUCUAGAUACAAGAGCGUUUGUUGCUUUUGAAUCGGGUGAUUCGCAUUUCUUUUAGUUGACAAAACGUUCCAUAUUAAUAUUGGACUAAUUUGAGUUUGAAUUUCGCAAUAUUUUUUAAAAUUUGUUAUUGCCAUUCAAAUUAUUAACCGUUAAUU
This is a non-coding RNA of Paramuricea clavata, 404 nucleotides long. The record is from the annotation of a GenBank genome assembly. NCBI's taxonomy places the organism in Eukaryota, Metazoa, Cnidaria, Anthozoa, Malacalcyonacea, Plexauridae.